Molecule: ribosomal RNA, 504 nt
Filed under: Paenibacillaceae bacterium CL7.67
Lineage: Bacteria; Bacillati; Bacillota; Bacilli; Caryophanales; Paenibacillaceae
Also listed under: 1 other name
Description: bacterial SSU rRNA
Rfam family: Bacterial small subunit ribosomal RNA
Source: RNAcentral
CCCUGGCUCAGGACGAACGCUGGCGGCGUGCCUAAUACAUGCAAGUCGAGCGGAGUUGAUGAGGUGCUUGCACCUCUGAUACUUAGCGGCGGACGGGUGAGUAACACGUGGGUAACCUGCCUAUAAGACUGGGAUAACAUUCGGAAACGAAUGCUAAUACCGGAUACGCGAUUUGGUCGCAUGAUCGAAUCGGGAAAGAUGGAGCAAUCUAUCACUUAUAGAUGGACCCGCGGCGCAUUAGCUAGUUGGUGAGGUAACGGCUCACCAAGGCGACGAUGCGUAGCCGACCUGAGAGGGUGAUCGGCCACACUGGGACUGAGACACGGCCCAGACUCCUACGGGAGGCAGCAGUAGGGAAUCUUCCGCAAUGGACGAAAGUCUGACGGAGCAACGCCGCGUGAGUGAUGAAGGUUUUCGGAUCGUAAAGCUCUGUUGCCAGGGAAGAAUGCUUGGGAGAGUAACUGCUCCCAAGGUGACGGUACCUGAGAAGAAAGCCCCGGCUAA